GCUCAUACGAAUGCAGAUGAAUCCAUGAAGAGAACAAUAAUGGCUUCAUUUGGGAAGAAAUUGAGAGAUUGGAAAAGUAGAGUGAAAAAAGUGGGAUACAAACCCUUCAAGAAUGAUGCAGAAAGGUUGGCUCAUUGAUCGGAUAGAGUACAUAAGGAUCAGUGGAUGGCCUUGGUCUACUAUUAGGGCACUCAGAGUGCAUCGAAAUCAAGCAAGAAGAAUUGAAAAAUCCGAAAGAAUAAGACAUUACAUCAUAGAACAGGCCGAAAGCCUUUCUCAGUAGUUCGAGUGGAGAAGGCAAAAAAUAACAAUGGGAUUCCUGCUAGUCGGCCACAGGUGUAGAUGGCCGCAUACAUAAAAGAUGGGAAGUCAAAUAGUGAUUCAGUUAAUGAGGUUAUGACUCAAAUGAAUGAGCUAACAGAGCACGUAAAGGGAUCUUCUAGUGACCUUGUUGCAUUAAAUGAGCAGGUCUUUACACAAGUUAUGGGCCUGGAGCAACUUGGCCGUGUUCGGACGUUUGGAUUGGGACCGUCCCCCACUGAUUUUUUGGAGGUAGAUAUAGGCAGUCACAAGAGCAUAAUCGUAUCUUCCAAACUCAAGUUCAAGAGCAAGUUGAAGAGCAACUUCAACGGCAUCAAAUGCAGUUAGAAUCGAAGAUGAAUGACGUAGUGGAGAAACGAAUUCAAGUUGUUGUGGAUUCACUUAGUAGUCAUCCCACUAUUCGACCAAUGCCACAUCAACAACAAUCUCAUACAUUUUCAUCCCAAGAGGUUCACCUUUCAAAAAAAAGAGAAGAACAAGAACAAGAAGAAGCAGAACUAACAAGGAACGACGUCUUCAAGCUGGAUACAAAAGGAACAUAGCUGAGUCCUCUUAUACUUCUUUUUGGGCUUCUUUUAUUUUGGGUAUACACCUAGGAUUGUUUUUCAGAACUUGUUCCUAGAAUCAAAUGCCGAAAUAUUGCAAUGUUCAGAGAGGGUUUAGAGGCUCCUUCUUCAGGUUUUAAAUUCAUUGGAGUGAGCACUUUCAUUAAAACUCAGUUUGUUCAUCUUUCACUCUCUUAAUGUUCUUAAUGCUUGAAAUGGUUGGUUUAUUUUUUUAUUUUUUUCUUCUUGCUGUAUUUCUUGUUCCUUCAAUUGAUAUUAGUGCUCAAUGGAAGACUUGGAAGUUGCUGCAAAGUUGUAUAUUUCUUAUUGGGUAGAACUGGCAACUACUCCAUAUGGUUCAACCCCUGGAUGCCACAAAAAUGUUUGGGCUUGUAGCCCUUCCUUGUAAAAGUCACUUUAAAGAAACAGCUAAGAUGAGAGCCUUGAAGGUUGUAAUUGUUAAAACAACUUAUGGGGUUCUGUGCAAAUUUUUUGGCAAAUCACCUCUUUUAAAUGUUAUUCA
Camellia sinensis is the source of this 1389-nucleotide non-coding RNA. NCBI's taxonomy places the organism in Eukaryota, Viridiplantae, Streptophyta, Magnoliopsida, Ericales, Theaceae. The record is from RefSeq and is a predicted model, not a curated record.